RNAcentral lists this long non-coding RNA (243 nucleotides) under Olea europaea (common olive). RNAcentral describes it as "long non-coding RNA (OEUR_LNC006100)". The record is from RNAcentral. Lineage: Eukaryota; Viridiplantae; Streptophyta; Magnoliopsida; Lamiales; Oleaceae.
GCUCAACAAAGUAGACAUGUUAUGCCUUAUAGCCAAUCAACCACGGAUUUGGUCCUAAACAUCUUUGCUAACCGGGCAUGAAAAGAAAAGAUGAUGGGUAGUUUCCACCAUUAGUCCACAAAGAGAGCAGUUUCGGUCUAUCUGAAGUUGUAAUUUGUCUUUUCUUUGCAAUUUUGCCCGAAUAGCUAACCAUAGGAUGCAAGCAUGAUUAGGAGUGAUAGAUCCGUCCAAAACUGAGGUUGC